This 505-nucleotide ribosomal RNA is filed under the name uncultured bacterium. RNAcentral's name for it is "partial 16S ribosomal RNA". It matches the Rfam family "Bacterial small subunit ribosomal RNA", at positions 28 to 507 of the family's 1533-position model. The record is from RNAcentral.
GACGAACGCUGGCGGCGUGCCUAAUACAUGCAAGUAGAACGCACAGUUUAUACCGUAGCUUGCUACACCAUAAACUGUGAGUUGCGAACGGGUGAGUAACGCGUAGGUAACCUGCCUGGUAGCGGGGGAUAACUAUUGGAAACGAUAGCUAAUACCGCCUAAUAUUGAUUAUUGCAUGAUAAUUGAUUGAAAGAUGCUAUUGCAUCACUACCAGAUGGACCUGCGUUGUAUUAGCUAGUAGGUGAGGUAACGGCUCACCUAGGCGACGAUACAUAGCCGACCUGGGAGGGUGAGCGGCCACGCUGGGACUGGGACACGGCCCAGACUCGUACGGGAGGCAGCAGUAGGGAAUGGUCGGCAAUGGACGAAAGUCUGACCGGGCAACGCCGCGUGGGGGAAGAAGGUUUUCGGAUCGUGAAGCUCUGUUGUAAGAGAAGAGCGGGUGUGAGAGUGGAAAGUUCACACUUUGACGGUAUCUGACCAGAAAGGGACGGCUAACUACGUG